UACGGAGGGUGCAAGCGUUAUCCGGAUUCACUGGGUUUAAAGGGUGCGUAGGUGGCUAUUUAAGUCAGUGGUGAAAGCCCGCGGCUCAACCGUGGAAUUGCCAUUGAAACUGAAUAGCUUGAGUAUAGUUGAAGUGGGCGGAAUAUAUCAUGUAGCGGUGAAAUGCUUAGAUAUGAUAUAGAACACCGAUUGCGAAGGCAGCUCACUAAGCUGUAACUGACACUGAGGCACGAAAGCGUGGGUAGCGAACAGG
Molecule: ribosomal RNA, 253 nt
Filed under: uncultured bacterium
Lineage: Bacteria
Description: partial 16S ribosomal RNA
Rfam family: Bacterial small subunit ribosomal RNA
Source: RNAcentral